This 501-nucleotide ribosomal RNA is filed under the name uncultured bacterium. Its description in RNAcentral is "partial 16S ribosomal RNA". It matches the Rfam family "Bacterial small subunit ribosomal RNA", at positions 30 to 523 of the family's 1533-position model. The record is from RNAcentral.
AUUGAACGCUGGCGGCAGGCUUAACACAUGCAAGUCGAGCGGAGAUGAGGUGCUUGCACCUUAUCUUAGCGGCGGACGGGUGAGUAAUGCUUAGGAAUCUGCCUAUUAGUGGGGGACAACAUUCCGAAAGGAAUGCUAAUACCGCAUACGUCCUACGGGAGAAAGCAGGGGAUCUUCGGACCUUGCGCUAAUAGAUGAGCCUAAGUCGGAUUAGCUCGUUGGUGGGGUAAAGGCCUACCAUGGCGACGAGCUGUAGCGGGUCUGAGAGGAUGAUCCGCCACACUGGGACUGAGACACGGCCCAGACUCCUACGGGAGGCAGCAGUGGGGAAUAUUGGACAAUGGGGGGAACCCUGAUCCAGCCAUGCCGCGUGUGUGAAGAAGGCCUUAUGGUUGUAAAGCACUUUAAGCGAGGAGGAGGCUACUGAGACUAAUACUCUUGGAUAGUGGACGUUACUCGCAGAAUAAGCACCGGCUAACUCUGUGCCAGCCGCCGCCGUAA